Molecule: transfer RNA, 73 nt
Filed under: Camelus bactrianus (Bactrian camel)
Lineage: Eukaryota; Metazoa; Chordata; Mammalia; Artiodactyla; Camelidae
Also listed under: 2 other names
Rfam family: tRNA
About the family: Transfer RNA (tRNA) molecules are approximately 80 nucleotides in length.
Source: Rfam by way of RNAcentral
GAGGAUAUAGCUCAAGUGGUAGAGCGUGUGCUUAGCAUGCACAAGAUCCUGGGUUCAAUCCCCAGUACCUCCA